UAAGCAUAUCAAUAAGCGGAGGAAAAGAAACCAACAGGGAUUGCCCCAGUAACGGCGAGUGAAGCGGCAAAAGCUCAAAUUUGAAAUCUGGCUCCUUAGGGGGUCCGAGUUGUAAUUUGUAGAGGAUGCUUCGGGUGCGGCCACGGCCUAAGUUCCUUGGAACAGGACGUCACAGAGGGUGAGAAUCCCGUCUUUGGCAGUUGGCCCGCGCCCGUGUGAAGCUCCUUCGACGAGUCGAGUUGUUUGGGAAUGCAGCUCUAAGCGGGUGGUAAAUUUCAUCUAAAGCUAAAUAUUGGCCGGAGACCGAUAGCGCACAAGUAGAGUGAUCGAAAGGUUAAAAGCACCUUGAAAAGGGAGUUAAACAGCACGUGAAAUUGUUGAAAGGGAAGCGCUUGCGGCCAGACUCGGGCGCGGGGUUCAGCGGGUGCGCGUCACCCGUGUACUCCCCGCCGCCCGGGCCAGCAUCAGUUCUGACGGCCGGUCAAAGGCCCCCGGAAUGUAUCGUCUCUCGGGACGUCUUAUAGCCGGGGGUGCAAUGCGGCCUGUCGGGACUGAGGAACGCGCUUCGGCUCGGAUGCUGGCGUAAUGGCCGUAAGCGGCCCGUCUUGAAACACGGACCAAGGAGUCUAACAUCCACGCGAGUGUUCGGGUGUCAAACCCGUGCGCGCAGUGAAAGCGAACGGAGGUGGGAGCCUUAGGGCGCACCAUCGACCGAUCCUGAAGUCUUCGGAUGGAUUUGAGUAGGAGCGUGGCCGUUGGGACCCGAAAGAUGGUGAACUAUGCCUGAAUAGGGUGAAGCCAGAGGAAACUCUGGUGGAGGCUCGCAGCGGUUCUGACGUGCAAAUCGAUCGUCAAAUUUGGGCAUAGGGGCGAAAGACUAAUCGAACCAUCUAGUAGCUGGUUCCUGCCGAAGUUUCCCUCAGGAUAGCAGUAACGAAAUUCCAGUUUUAUGAGGUAAAGCGAAUGAUUAGAGGCCUUGGGGUUGAAACAACCUUAACCUAUUCUCAAACUUUAAAUAUGUAAGAAGCCCUUGUUUCUUAAGUGAACGU
Molecule: ribosomal RNA, 1049 nt
Filed under: Arthroderma tuberculatum
Lineage: Eukaryota; Fungi; Ascomycota; Eurotiomycetes; Onygenales; Arthrodermataceae
Description: eukaryotic LSU rRNA
Rfam family: Eukaryotic large subunit ribosomal RNA
Source: RNAcentral